GAUGAAGAACGCAGUGAAAUGCGAUACGUAAUGUGAAUUGCAAAUUCAGUGAAUCAUCGAGUCUUUGAACGCACAUUGCGCCCCCUGGUAUUCCGGGGGGCAUGCCUGUCCGAGCGUCAUUGCUGCCCUCAAGCACGGCUUGUGUGUUGGGCCCCGUCCUCCGAUCCCGGGGGACGGGCCCGAAAGGCAGCGGCGGCACCGCGUCCGGUCCUCGAGCGUAUGGGGCUUUGUCACCCGCUCUGUAGGCCCGGCCGGCGCUUGCCGAUCAACCCAAAUUUCUAUCCAGGUUGACCUCGGAUCAGGUAGGGAUACCCGCUGAACUUAAGCAUAUCAAUAAGCGGAGGA
Molecule: unclassified non-coding RNA, 345 nt
Filed under: soil metagenome
Description: partial contains 5.8S ribosomal RNA, internal transcribed spacer 2, and large subunit ribosomal RNA
Rfam family: 5.8S ribosomal RNA (bases 1-119)
Source: RNAcentral